Globicephala melas (long-finned pilot whale) is the source of this 1095-nucleotide long non-coding RNA. RefSeq lists it as uncharacterized. The record is from RefSeq and is a predicted model, not a curated record. Lineage: Eukaryota; Metazoa; Chordata; Mammalia; Artiodactyla; Delphinidae.
CUUCAGGUUUUUGGGACUCAGCUGAGAGUGUGGGUCCGUGAGGUGCGGGCUGGGCCGCCCUGGGGUGUGGGGAGAUAAAGGGAUCCACAUCCAAGUCACCUCUUUCCCGCUUUGGGGCUUGGUGCCUCCGCUUUCUCGUAGCUCCUCAUGCCGAUGGCCUUGCUCAUAUCAGGUGUCUGAAGGGGGCAGGUUCUGAGGAUCUGUGUCCUGAUGGCUUCUGAAGCUUCUACUCCAGAUUCAAAGGCAACAGUCUUCAGGAGAACCCAACAGUUCACAUCUUUAUUUGGUUAUGCCGCCUGGCUCAACAAGUCUUCCUCAAUGAAUUCCUGGGUUAUCAGGUGGUGAAACAGACAGAAGGAGAGAGCAUUGGAACAUCAGAGAAGGGUGUGGACUUCGAGUCCCAGGAGCAGGAUCCAAUAGAGAAGAACCAAGUGUGAUGUCGAGUCUACUAGACAGGUUCCUGGAACAAGAGUGUAAGACAGUUGUUGUUUUACUCUGAUGCUUUUGCAAAAGUGAUUCAUCUUCAGAGAGAUUCAUGGAGAAAACUCUGAAAAGUACUAUAGAAUACAGGUUUCUGAAAAGUUUAAGGACAUACUACUGACUGGGUAAGAAUUUCCAGAGCUCUAAUGGAAAAACUAGAUUCAAGUAGAACAAGAAUUAAUAACAUGGGUUGAAUGAACUGAUGGGGAUGAUUAUAAUUUUUAUGACUUUUUAUGUGAAACACUGCUGGUUCUUUAAUGUUUUUAUUUACAAGUUUAAAGAAACCUUUUUCUUUUAAGCUGUCUAUGAUGUAUAGCAAUUUGAUAAAGUAUACCUUUGUAAACAGAAUUGAAACAUUUCAUUUUUCUCCGUAUCUGAUCCCUCCAGAAUUAGGAAAUUUGUUGAGUGUUCUUAUUUUCAUGGCUAUUUAGUUAUUUGUAUAAAUUCAGUAAGAAUCUGUUUUUAGAAUACAAUUUGAAACAUUGUUUAUAUUAUGGCUUUGACAGAAUAUCAUAAUUCAGAAUAUGCAUAGAAUAUAGACCACACAACUUUAAGGAACUGAGGCUGACUUUAUGGAGCCAGUAAAGCCUCUUGGAAAACCAGCCUGUUACCUUG